Molecule: ribosomal RNA, 503 nt
Filed under: uncultured bacterium
Lineage: Bacteria
Description: partial 16S ribosomal RNA
Rfam family: Bacterial small subunit ribosomal RNA
Source: RNAcentral
AUUGAACGCUGGCGGCAGGCUUAACACAUGCAAGUCGAGCGGGGUGAUGGUGCUUGCACUAUCACUUAGCGGCGGACGGGUGAGUAAUGCUUAGGAAUCUGCCUAUUAGUGGGGGACAACAUCCCGAAAGGGAUGCUAAUACCGCAUACGUCCUACGGGAGAAAGCAGGGGAGCACUUGUGACGUUGAGCUAAUAGAUGAGCCUAAGUCGGAUUAGCUAGUUGGUGGGGUAAAGGCCUACCAAGGCGACGAUCUGUAGCGGGUCUGAGAGGAUGAUCCGCCACACUGGGACUGAAACACGGCCCAGACUCCUACGGGAGGCAGCAGUGGGGAAUAUUGGACAAUGGGGGGAACCCUGAUCCAGCCAUGCCGCGUGUGUGAAGAAGGCCUUAUGGUUGUAAAGCACUUUAAGCGAGGAGGAGGCUCUUUUGGUUAAUACCCAAGAUGAGUGGACGUUACUCGCAGAAUAAGCACCGGCUAACUCUGUGCCAGCCGCCGCGGUAA